Molecule: ribosomal RNA, 873 nt
Filed under: uncultured Methanocella sp.
Lineage: Archaea; Methanobacteriati; Methanobacteriota; Methanomicrobia; Methanocellales; Methanocellaceae
Description: bacterial SSU rRNA
Rfam family: Archaeal small subunit ribosomal RNA
Source: RNAcentral
UCUGGUUGAUCCUGCCGGAGGUUACUGCUAUCGGUGUUCGAUUAAGCCAUGCGAGUCGAGAGGCGUCAAGGCCUCGGCGUACUGCUCAGUAACACGUGGACAACCUGCCCAAAGGUCCGGGAUAACCCCGGGAAACUGGGGAUAAUACCGGAUAAAUCAUGAGUACUGGAAGGUCUUGUGGUUGAAACUUCCGGGGCCUUUGGAUGGGUCUGCGGCUGAUUAGGUUGUUGCCGGUGUAACGUACCGUCAAGCCUGUAAUCAGUACGGGUUGUGGGAGCAAGAGCCCGGAGAUGGAUUCUGAGACACGAAUCCAGGCCCUACGGGGCGCAGCAGGCGCGAAAACUCUACAAUGCAGGCAACUGCGAUAGGGGAACAUCGAGUGAUACUCAUCUUGGGUGUCUGUCCUUCCGUCUAAAAAACGGGAGUUAGCAAGGGCCGGGCAAGACCGGUGCCAGCCGCCGCGGUAAUACCGGCGGCUCGAGUGGUAGCCGAUAUUAUUGAGUCUAAAGGGUCCGUAGCCGGCUUUGCAAGUCUUUUGGGAAAUCCAGCGGCUUAACCGUUGGUCGUCCGGGAGAUACUACAUUGCUUGGGACUGGGAGAGGUAAGAGGUACUCAGGGGGUAGGAGUGAAAUCCUGUAAUCCUUUGGGGACCACCGGUGGCGAAGGCGUCUUACCAGAACAGGUCCGACGGUGAGGGACGAAAGCUAGGGGCACGAACCGGAUUAGAUACCCGGGUAGUCCUAGCCGUAAACGAUGCUCGCUAGGUGUCACAACAAUCGUGAAUUGUUGUGGUGCCGUAGGGAAGCCGUGAAGCGAGCCACUUGGGAAGUACGACCGCAAGGUUGAAACUUAAAGGAAUUGGCGGGGGAGCAC